UACGGAGGGUGCAAGCGUUAUCCGGAUUCACUGGGUUUAAAGGGUGCGUAGGCGGACAAGUAAGUCAGUGGUGAAAUCUCCGGGCUUAACCCGGAAACUGCCGUUGAUACUAUUUGUCUUGAAUAUCGUGGAGGUGAGCGGAAUAUGUCAUGUAGCGGUGAAAUGCUUAGAUAUGACAUAGAACACCGAUUGCGAAGGCAGCUUGCUACACGAUUAUUGACGCUGAGGCACGAAAGCGUGGGGAUCAAACAGG
RNAcentral lists this ribosomal RNA (253 nucleotides) under uncultured bacterium. RNAcentral's name for it is "partial 16S ribosomal RNA". It matches the Rfam family "Bacterial small subunit ribosomal RNA", at positions 524 to 776 of the family's 1533-position model. The record is from RNAcentral.